This 1577-nucleotide long non-coding RNA is filed under the name Paramuricea clavata. The record is from RNAcentral. Lineage: Eukaryota; Metazoa; Cnidaria; Anthozoa; Malacalcyonacea; Plexauridae.
CAUCUAGAGCAGUGGAAGAAAGGGUCGACAUGUUGUCCCCUUAAUUUAUACCCCCUACCUACAGUAGGUACCCCAGUGGCCAUUGUCUGAUGGCAAGUGAAUUUUAUUCAGGGCAACUAAUUUUCCUAUCCAACUUGGCAAAUUGAACUUGCCCUAAGGACAAGUGGUCAAAAUAGUAAAGUUAUACCACUGACUACUGAGUAAAGUAUAUGAGCUACAGUAUCAUGGUAAUAAAAACUCUGGAAUAAGGUAUGCGGUUAUUUUCAAAAAAAUUACAUCAUCACUCAUCAAAUAGGUUGUUGAAGAAGUUUGAAGGAACCUCAAUCAACCCGAAGAAGCAGAAGAAAGCGCAUACAUGAGGAAUUGUGAAAAUCAGCAGCUGAUUGACCAAUUGGACCCACUUAUUUACUAUGGUAUUUCAAAAGGAGUUAUGAAGCCACCACAUGAACAGUGAUCUGGUAAUUAAAUCAUAUCAUUUUGUUUUUUGAUUAAUUAGAGUACCGGUACCAACAUUGGAUUCAUUAGCACCGACAUUAGGUGUCGUUAAUAGAAAAUAAUGAAUGAAAAUUGCAUUUUGGUUUAUACUGUACCGGUAACUAAUAAAUGAUAUGAAAAAUCAAAAUUGCAUUGUUUAGCUCUCAAAAUAUCACAAAGCUUUUAUUAAAAAUGUAACUUAAUUAAUAUUAUUUUUUAUGUAUGUAAUUCUAUAGAAAGUACUUCUGAUCACCUAAUGAAGAACAUUUAAUUCACUCUUCAAAUCAAAAAGUCAACCUGCUAAGAGCAAACUGGACAUCAUAAACUUUGUUGAGGUGAGGUUAUAGUUUCAUUUUAUAAAAUUCAUUUAGUAAGGCCUGAAUCAAAUUUAGUGUACAUAUACAUCUUCUUAGUUUUGAGCUUUCCUAUAUAGUUGAGAUAAGUUAAUAUGGGCUAACAUCUGCCGACUGAGUGUCUCUUGUUCCAUCCAUCAUACAUCCUUUUCAUAAAUGGCUGCUGAUUAAAAAUCUUUUAUGUGCAUAUAAAUUGGCCCAACUAGCCUCGUACUCAUGUUAAGAUUUCAAUGGAAUAAAAAUUCUUUGAAAUCUUAACAGAAACGAGGCUAGUUGGGCCAAUUUAUAUGACCUUAUAUGCACAUAAAAGAAUUUUUAAUCGGCAGCCAUUUAUGAAAAGGGUGUAUUGUAUUUCGCUCUGCAUGUCUAUAACCCCAGGGGAUAGCUUGUUAGUGAAAACAUAAGCUGUUAAUUCAUGAGGGUUGUGUAGUUGUUACCAAAACUAUUUUAAUUUGUGCUUUUUUCCUCAAAAGGAAGGAGACACAGACUUGACUACCUGGCUACAAAUGAGGCCCGCUGACAUACUGUAUCAGGGCUGAUCAUGACAUGGAGCUACUGGCAACAUUCGAGAAUAGCGAAACCGUAAAAGCCAUCGUUUACUUCCUGGCGUUGUUCUACUGUACCUGCUCGACGUAAGACUACCCAUCCACUCAUCCAGACUCAGCAGUCUGACAUGGUAAAGGCUUUUCAAGAAAUUGAACAAUAUUGCUACGUGUGAGAACUUUUACAUUUAUCUAUCAGUAAUUACUU